GACGAACGCUGGCGGCGUGCUUAACACAUGCAAGUCGAACGAUGAAGCCUAGCUUGCUAGGUGGAUUAGUGGCGAACGGGUGAGUAAUACGUGAGUAACCUACCUUUAACUCUGGGAUAAGCCCGGGAAACUGGGUCUAAUACCGGAUACGACCAAUCUCCGCAUGGGGUGUUGGUGGAAAGCGUUAUGUAGUGGUUAUAGAUGGGCUCACGGCCUAUCAGCUUGUUGGUGAGGUAACGGCUCACCAAGGCGACGACGGGUAGCCGGCCUGAGAGGGUGACCGGCCACACUGGGACUGAGAAACGGCCCAGACUCCUACGGGAGGCAGCAGUGGGGAAUAUUGCACAAUGGGCGCAAGCCUGAUGCAGCGACGCCGCGUGAGGGAUGACGGCCUUCGGGUUGUAAACCUCUGUUAGCAGGGAAGAAGAGAGAUUGACGGUACCUGCAGAGAAAGCGCCGGCUAACUACGUG
Molecule: ribosomal RNA, 471 nt
Filed under: uncultured bacterium
Lineage: Bacteria
Description: partial 16S ribosomal RNA
Rfam family: Bacterial small subunit ribosomal RNA
Source: RNAcentral